Molecule: long non-coding RNA, 295 nt
Organism: Dioscorea cayenensis subsp. rotundata (Guinea yam)
Lineage: Eukaryota; Viridiplantae; Streptophyta; Magnoliopsida; Dioscoreales; Dioscoreaceae
Exons: 3
Source: RefSeq, a predicted model, not a curated record
CUUUGAUCACCAAACAAAAGAAGAAGUGGAAAUCUCAUCUCCUUACAAGAAGAAGAGUUCGAUUAAGGCAUAGAGAAGAUUAUCGGAGGAGAAGCUUCAAGCAAAGGAAAAGAGAUUACGGACAAGUAACCUUGGAGGGUGUUAGCUUGCCAAGUUUGUGACAGCACAGCAGCGGGAUAGCAGCGUGAAGUGCUUGGCAGAGUAGUUUGUAUUUUCUUAAGCUGUGUAUGAAGCUUAUAUAUUUUGGCAUGUAGUUGAUGGAUCCACUAGGAUAUUACCAACCCUAAUAUUAAUA